AUUGAACGCUGGCGGCAUGCUUUACACAUGCCAGUCGAACGGCAGCGCGGGCUUCGGCCUGGCGGCGAGUGGCGAACGGGUGAGUAAUGCAUCGGAACGUGCCCAGUAGUGGGGGAUAGCCCGGCGAAAGCCGGAUUAAUACCGCAUACGACCUGAGGGUGCAAGCGGGGGACCGAAAGGCCUCGCGCUAUUGGAGCGGCCGAUGUCGGAUUAGCUAGUUGGUGGGGUAAAGGCUUACCAAGGCGACGAUCCGUAGCUGGUCUGAGAGGACGACCAGCCACACUGGGACUGAGACACGGCCCAGACUCCUACGGGAGGCAGCAGUGGGGAAUUUUGGACAAUGGGGGCAACCCUGAUCCAGCCAUGCCGCGUGCGGGAAGAAGGCCUUCGGGUUGUAAACCGCUUUUGUUCGGGAAGAAAUCCUCUGGGCUAAUACCCCGGGGGGAUGACGGUACCGGAAGAAUAAGCACCGGCUAACUACGUG
This 484-nucleotide ribosomal RNA is filed under the name uncultured bacterium. RNAcentral's name for it is "partial 16S ribosomal RNA". It matches the Rfam family "Bacterial small subunit ribosomal RNA", at positions 28 to 507 of the family's 1533-position model. The record is from RNAcentral.